UUCCCCUCACAGCUUCCGUUUCGGCUUUCAAUUCAUCAAUUCAUUCUACAUCCAUUAAUUACCUAAACGCGUCCAUGUGACGCUCAAGUUUGGGCAGCCGCUAUGAAUUCUCCACCAUCGUUCUCUCUCACCUACAAUAUUUCCCCUGUGCGUUCCCUCUGUCGUGGUUGUUAAUGCUGCAGAUAGCGAACUGAUCUUCAAAUCUCUGGUGAAGCUACUGUAGUUAAUUAAUUUCAUUCCUUUCGUCAGAUUUAUGGGUUGGUUCUUCUGCAAAAUGUAAAGCUCAAUAAUGGGUUGGUUCUUAUGCAAAAUGUAGAACUCAAUUGGUGCAUGUCUUCUACUUCUCCGGAUGUGACUCUUAUGGUAUGUGUUGGAAGGAGACCUCUACUGCCAUGGAUUUAACUGAUUUCAUGUUUUCAGUCAUGCUUAACAUAUGCUCUCAUGUAUAUAUUAUUUGUUCCAAGAGGAUGCCUAUAUUUUCAUAGAUAUAUUGUUCGUUGCUUUGAAUUAAAACCACAUAGCAUUUUCCUUUGAGAGAGAAGAUUGGAAAUUUGGCGUAAUAGAACACUAAUCUGUGGUGUUAGAUUCAUUUUUCUGUCUAAUACAGUGUUAGAUUCAUUCUACUUUCAAUCUGUUUGGUCAGAUUUAUCCUGUGUAGCCCAUACACUUAUUUUCGUUUCAGACUUACACACUAGGAGCUUAGGUGGAAGCUAGGUAUCAGUACAUGUACUAGCUCCAAGGAUUCAGUGGUGUUUCUUCUGGCGCUUAAUUCGGUCCAGUAUCUGCAUCGAUUAAAGGAUACUAAUGGAAAGUAGUGGUUUGAAGCUGUUUGACGAUGCAGUUAGGAAACUUUGUUAUUCCACUCCUCCAAUCCAGCCAACACAAGGAACAUAUGCACCGGUCUAGGAACUGACGAUUUUUGUGAGAUAGUUUGGACUCAACUACUGAUGUGGUGAUAAUCAACACAAUGUCCUGAAUUUUCAGAGAGUUUUGAGGUCAAUGGUUUUAAUUGUACAAAUAGAUGGAAUAUGGAGCUGCAAGUAUUGACCAGUUUAUUGUGGAGUCCCAAAGACUUUGCCACAAAGCAACAUAGUCUGCUUGUAAAGGUGACUCUACUUUGGAUUCCAUCGAAUCUCAGAGAGUUGUUGAACUCAUGAAUUCAGAGUUGUCUCCUUGCUCAAGUUGAAACCCAAGGAAUUUUGGAAACCGGGUUUGUACUUGCCUUUAUGUUUAAAAUCCGCCAUUGAUUCUGCAUAACAUGUUCUAUUUGAUUCUGCAGAACAUACUUCAAUGGAGACCGUUUGUGCAUCUAAAGAGAACCAUGUUAGCACAAAAUUCACUCAGAUCCAUUACUCAAUGUAUAAAAAUUGUAGCUUUCAGAAUCUCUCAUAUAGUACUCCCCUUCAUUUGGCACACAUGUACAACUUAAUCCAUAAAUGAGAAAGUCUUAUGUCAAUUUUAUUCAAUCCAUAAGAAGCAUGUACUCCGUGAGUUAGUGUUUGAAACUUUUAUUGAUAUAUUUU
This is a long non-coding RNA of Lotus japonicus, 1523 nucleotides long. RefSeq lists it as uncharacterized. The record is from RefSeq and is a predicted model, not a curated record. The transcript is spliced from 5 exons. NCBI's taxonomy places the organism in Eukaryota, Viridiplantae, Streptophyta, Magnoliopsida, Fabales, Fabaceae.